GUGGGGAAUCUUGCGCAAUGGGCGAAAGCCUGACGCUGCCAUGUCGCGUGAAUGAUGAAGGUCUUAGGAUUGUAAAAUUCUUUCACCGGGGAAGAUAAUGACGGUACCCGGAGAAGAAGCCCCGGCUAACUUCGUGCCAGCAGCCGCGGUAAUACGAAGGGGGCUAGCGUUGCUCGGAAUUACUGGGCGUAAAGGGAGCGUAGGCGGAUAGUUUAGUCAGAGGUGAAAGCCCAGGGCUCAACCUUGGAAUUGCCUUUGAUACUGGCUAUCUUGAGUAUGGAAGAGGUAUGUGGAACUCCGAGUGUAGAGGUGAAAUUCGUAGAUAUUCGGAAGAACACCAGUGGCGAAGGCGACAUACUGGUCCAUUACUGACGCUGAGGCUCGAAAGCGUGGGGAGCAAACAGGAUUAGAAACCCGUGUAGUCC
This 425-nucleotide ribosomal RNA is filed under the name uncultured bacterium. Its description in RNAcentral is "partial 16S ribosomal RNA". It matches the Rfam family "Bacterial small subunit ribosomal RNA", at positions 354 to 796 of the family's 1533-position model. The record is from RNAcentral.